CUGGAAUCUAUUGGGUCCCCAAAUAGGAAGGAGUGAGGCUGUCAGAGCAUGACCUAGCUAGGGUUAGUCCUUUUCUGUCCAACCAAAGCUAGAUCAUGCUGGCAGCUUCACCUCUUCCCUUGUGAACUCUUCUCUAAUAUUGUCGCUAAUAAAGGACCAGAGGGUGAACCUAACUACCCAGAUGCUUCUUCUCUCUUUUCACUAAAAAGAGACCAUAGUUAAGGAGGACUUGAGAAGAACAAUACAUUAUAUCCUACAACAGAGAACUUUGAUGAUUAUCUCGGACUCGGAUGAAGGAAGAAAGAGAAGUCCCAAAACAAGAAGAAGAAAAAACAGUAGAAAAUAGAAAGAGGAAGCUACAGAAGAAAUAAAACAAAACUUGUCUAAAGAAAUGGAGAACUUUUUCAUGAGAUGAUGAAGG
Molecule: unclassified non-coding RNA, 421 nt
Filed under: Hevea brasiliensis (rubber tree)
Lineage: Eukaryota; Viridiplantae; Streptophyta; Magnoliopsida; Malpighiales; Euphorbiaceae
Source: RNAcentral